AUUGAACGCUGGCGGCAGGCCUAACACAUGCAAGUCGAAUGGUAACAGGAAACAGCUUGCUGUUUCGCUGACGAGUGGCGGACGGGUGAGUAAUGUCUGGGAAACUGCCUGAUGGGGGGGGAUAACUACUGGAAACGGUAGCUAAUACCGCAUAACGUCGCAAGACCAAAGAGGGGGACCUUCGGGCCUCUUGCCAUCAGAUGUGCCCAGAUGGGAUUAGCUAGUAGGUGGGGUAACGGCUCACCUAGGCGACGAUCCCUAGCUGGUCUGAGAGGAUGACCAGCCACACUGGAACUGAGACACGGUCCAGACUCCUACGGGAGGCAGCAGUGGGGAAUAUUGCACAAUGGGCGCAAGCCUGAUGCAGCCAUGCCGCGUGUAUGAAGAAGGCCUUCGGGUUGUAAAGUACUUUCAGCGGGGAGGAAGGGAGUAAAGUUAAUACCUUUGCUCAUUGACGUUACCCGCAGAAGAAGCACCGGCUAACUCCGUG
RNAcentral lists this ribosomal RNA (490 nucleotides) under uncultured bacterium. Its description in RNAcentral is "partial 16S ribosomal RNA". It matches the Rfam family "Bacterial small subunit ribosomal RNA", at positions 30 to 507 of the family's 1533-position model. The record is from RNAcentral.